CAUUUCAAAACAACAUAAAAAUCAAAAUAAAUUCCUCUAUCAACACUCUCCUAACUUCUUCAAUGCUUCAAACUCUCAAAAGACUCUCAAUCAGUCUAGGCUGAAGACUAACCCCGACUUUCUUUUGAAAUCCUCUAUUCGACUUCUUUGUGCUCUUGUGCUUCUUUUUUCUUCUUAUUAUUAUUGGAAUAAAAUAUUCACACUCUGCUUGAUUCGGU
RNAcentral lists this long non-coding RNA (218 nucleotides) under Glycine max (soybean). Its description in RNAcentral is "long non-coding RNA (GMAX_LNC001272)". Lineage: Eukaryota; Viridiplantae; Streptophyta; Magnoliopsida; Fabales; Fabaceae. The record is from RNAcentral.